GAUGAACGCUGGCGGCGUGCCUAAUACAUGCAAGUCGAGCGAACAGACGAGGAGCUUGCUCCUCUGACGUUAGCGGCGGACGGGUGAGUAACACGUGGAUAACCUACCUAUAAGACUGGGAUAACUUCGGGAAACCGGAGCUAAUACCGGAUAAUAUAUUGAACCGCAUGGUUCAAUAGUGAAAGACGGUUUUGCUGUCACUUAUAGAUGGAUCCGCGCCGCAUUAGCUAGUUGGUAAGGUAACGGCUUACCAAGGCAACGAUGCGUAGCCGACCUGAGAGGGUGAUCGGCCACACGGGAACUGAGACACGUUCCAGACUCCUACGGGAGGCAGCAGUAGGGAAUCUUCCGCAAUGGGCGAAAGCCUGACGGAGCAACGCCGCGUGAGUGAUGAAGGUCUUCGGAUCGUAAAACUCUGUUAUUAGGGAAGAACAAAUGUGUAAGUAACUAUGCACGUCUUGACGGUACCUAAUCAGAAAGCCACGGCUAACUACGU
RNAcentral lists this ribosomal RNA (496 nucleotides) under uncultured bacterium. Its description in RNAcentral is "partial 16S ribosomal RNA". It matches the Rfam family "Bacterial small subunit ribosomal RNA", at positions 28 to 506 of the family's 1533-position model. The record is from RNAcentral.